This 389-nucleotide RNase P RNA is filed under the name Barnesiella sp. RNAcentral describes it as "RNase P RNA component class A". It matches the Rfam family "Bacterial RNase P class A". Rfam says of the family: Ribonuclease P (RNase P) is a ubiquitous endoribonuclease, found in archaea, bacteria and eukarya as well as chloroplasts and mitochondria. Its best characterised activity is the generation of mature 5'-ends of tRNAs by cleaving the 5'-leader elements of precursor-tRNAs. Lineage: Bacteria; Pseudomonadati; Bacteroidota; Bacteroidia; Bacteroidales; Barnesiellaceae. The record is from RNAcentral.
GCAGUCGGGCGUUUCGUCGCUCACCGACCUAUGAGCGGUGUGAGGAAAGUCCGGGCAACAUAGAGCACCAUACUUCUUAACGGGAAGCUGUCGGCGACGGCAGAGUAGUGUGACAGAAAAUAACCGCUUCGCCCCUUCCCUCGCGGAAGAGCGAAGUAAGGGUGAAAAGGUGGGGUAAGAGCCCACCGGANUCCAUAGCGAUAUGGAUUGCCGCAUGCCUUAUGGGUUGCAAGGCCAAGUAUACCGGCAUUUAAGGGUUGCUCGCCCACUGCCGGGGGGUAGGCUGCUUAAGCCGUAUGGCGACAUACGGAUCAGAUAAAUGACGAGACAGCGGGAAGACCUUACGGUCCGCCCGCUGACAUAACCCGGCUUAUAGCCCGACUGCUUUU